Molecule: long non-coding RNA, 319 nt
Organism: Ochotona curzoniae (black-lipped pika)
Lineage: Eukaryota; Metazoa; Chordata; Mammalia; Lagomorpha; Ochotonidae
Exons: 3
Source: RefSeq, a predicted model, not a curated record
CCCAAAAUGCCCCAAACAGCCAAGGCUGAGCUGGGUUGACACCAGAAGGCAGAAACUAGAUCCAGGUGCAUGAAGUUGGAGACAGAAACCCAACUGAGAAUCAACUGUUGCCUCCCACAGUGUGCGUUAUCAGAAGUUGGAAUCAAGGGCUGGACCAGGACUCGAACCCCGGCACUCCAGGAGGGAAAGCAGACAUCUCAAACAGAAGAGGUGCUAUACUAUCAGCCAGAAUGUCAAAUGCCCGUUCCUAAUUUUUUGAUUCAAGUAGUUUGAACCAUUCUUUUUACUUCUUGGUUUAGAUUCAUCCAUUUUUUCCUGA